This 748-nucleotide ribosomal RNA is filed under the name Gaeumannomyces graminis. RNAcentral's name for it is "partial 28S ribosomal RNA". It matches the Rfam family "Eukaryotic large subunit ribosomal RNA", at positions 76 to 854 of the family's 3401-position model. RNAcentral also lists the same sequence under 1 other name. The record is from RNAcentral. Lineage: Eukaryota; Fungi; Ascomycota; Sordariomycetes; Magnaporthales; Magnaporthaceae.
UGCCCUAGUAACGGCGAGUGAAGCGGCAACAGCUCAAAUUUGAAAUCUGGCCCCAGGCCCGAGUUGUAAUUUGCAGAGGAUGCUUUUGGCAAAGCGCUUACCGAGUCCCCUGGAACGGGGCGCCACAGAGGGUGAGAGCCCCGUAUGGUAUGACGCCUAGCCUCUGUAAAGCUCCUUCGACGAGUCGAGUAGUUUGGGAAUGCUGCUCUAAAUGGGAGGUAAAUUUCUUCUAAAGCUAAAUACCGGCCAGAGACCGAUAGCGCACAAGUAGAGUGAUCGAAAGAUGAAAAGCACUUUGAAAAGAGGGUUAAAUAGCACGUGAAAUUGUUGAAAGGGAAGCGCUCGUGACCAGACUUGCGCCGGGCGGAUCAUCCAGCGUUCUCGCUGGUGCACUCCGCCCGGCUCAGGCCAGCAUCGGUUUUCGCCGGGGGACAAAAGCUUCGGGAACGUGGCUCCCCUCGGGGAGUGUUAUAGCCCGUUGUUUAAUACCCCGGCGGGGACCGAGGACCGCGCUUCGGCAAGGAUGCUGGCGUAAUGGUCAUCAGCGACCCGUCUUGAAACACGGACCGAGGAGUCAAGCAUUAGUGCGAGUGUUUGGGUGUAAAACCCGCACGCGUAAUGAAAGUGAACGUAGGUGAGAGCUUCGGCGCAUCAUCGACCGAUCCUGAUGUUUUCGGAUGGAUUUGAGUAGGAGCAUUAACGCUUGGACCCGAAAGAUGGUGAACUAUACUUGAAUAGGGUGAAGCCA